UACGUAGGGGGCUAGCGUUGUCCGGAAUCAUUGGGCGUAAAGGGCGCGUAGGUGGCCCGACAAGUCCGUGGUGAAAGCUCGACGCUCAACGUCGAGUCGGCCAUGGAUACUGUUGGGCUGGAGCACUGUAGAGGCUCAUGGAAUUCCGGGUGUAGCGGUGGAAUGCGUAGAGAUCCGGAAGAACACCGGUGGCGAAGGCGGUGAGCUGGGCAGUUGCUGACACUGAGGCGCGACAGCGUGGGGAGCAAACAGG
RNAcentral lists this ribosomal RNA (253 nucleotides) under uncultured bacterium. RNAcentral's name for it is "partial 16S ribosomal RNA". It matches the Rfam family "Bacterial small subunit ribosomal RNA", at positions 524 to 776 of the family's 1533-position model. The record is from RNAcentral.